RNAcentral lists this ribosomal RNA (253 nucleotides) under uncultured bacterium. RNAcentral's name for it is "partial 16S ribosomal RNA". It matches the Rfam family "Bacterial small subunit ribosomal RNA", at positions 524 to 776 of the family's 1533-position model. The record is from RNAcentral.
UACGAAGGGUGCUAGCGUUGUUCGGAAUCACUGGGCGUAAAGCGCGCGUAGGCGGCUAUCCAAGUCAGAGGUGAAAGCCCUGGGCUCAACCCAGGAAUUGCCUUUGAAACUGUUUAGCUAGAGUGUCGGAGGGGAUAGCGGAAUUCCUAAUGUAGAGGUGAAAUUCGUAGAUAUUAGGAGGAACACCGGUGGCGAAGGCGGCUAUCUGGACGACAACUGACGCUGAGGCGCGAAAGCGUGGGGAUCAAACAGG